AGCAACCUGUCUCAACAAACGUUUGGCUUAGCAAUGCUCCAUAAAAAAGACCUCCCAGGACAGCAAACCCUGGAAGCUUCUAGAUAUGAAUGUUACCGUCAAGGAAAUAAGAUGGAAUCCCAUCAUGAUGAUCUAUAAAGGAGUAGAGCGUCCUGUCAAAGGACUUGAGAAGGCCCGAAUAAAGGAGGGUAGAAGGCCCGAAAUGACAGAGAGCUUGAGGCAACAGUCUCUGUUACCCGUGGAAUAAUCCAGCCCUGACAAAGCCAUCAGUCUUCAUACCACAAGUGACAUAUAAGCCUAUCGAAUUUUGAGGAGAAAUCCCAUGGGCGACUGGUUAGGCAUGUUGAUCAAAAGAUGAAUGGAAAGUGGAAGAUGCCUAAAGCAGGAGAGGAUGAUGAAGACUUCUGGGAGCAAGUUAGGAUUUCACCCCCAAGGAGACAAUGAGAGAAAACAUGUAUGACAGGAAUUUUUAACCAGAUUUCCCUGACUGGUGGGAGAGACACAAUGACGUGUGCUCCUGAAAUGUGACACUACCAUACGAACAUCAUUUAUAAAGAAGGAGUUGAAGAUUUCAUUACAUGUAGGUGUUGCUAAUUUAUGUAUUUAUACUAUUUUAUGGCCUAUUUAUAAAAUAUUACAAAUUAUCAAGAGGUUACCAUGGAGCUUGUGUUACCGUACAGUGAAAUUUCCUAGCGAUUGAA
Molecule: long non-coding RNA, 701 nt
Organism: Hyla sarda
Lineage: Eukaryota; Metazoa; Chordata; Amphibia; Anura; Hylidae
Exons: 3
Source: RefSeq, a predicted model, not a curated record